This is a long non-coding RNA of Gymnodraco acuticeps, 758 nucleotides long. RefSeq lists it as uncharacterized. NCBI's taxonomy places the organism in Eukaryota, Metazoa, Chordata, Actinopteri, Perciformes, Bathydraconidae. The transcript has 3 exons. The record is from RefSeq and is a predicted model, not a curated record.
AACUGUAUAGAGCAGGAUUUGAGAACGUCCUUUUCUCCUCCAACACAGGCUGAGGAGGAAAUCAUCUACUGCAAUGUUAGGCCCAAGAGAAAGUCUUCAAGCCAGGCUGAAGAGGACGUAACAUAUUUGUAAUGUUGGAAUCGUGACGAAAACAUCAAGCCAGGUUGAAGCAGAAGAUAAUGAUGUUACGUACAGCACGUUGGCUCAGCACUAACAGAAAAUGAAAAUGUUUGUCCGUCUGUUCAUCUUUUUAUCUCUCUGCGAGCAGACAGCUAUUCUUACUAGACGAGAGUGUUACACGUCAUCGUCUGCUUUUAUCAUUUGGUUGUGCAGAAACUUCUUCUCCUUUGCAUCACUAGUUGUCUCACCUUUCUUUAACCCUCCCUUUCAUACACAAACAUUGACAACUAUGCAGAUAUUUUACUAUAUUUGUAUUCAUGCGUUAAUCUCAGAACAUUUAGUUAUAUUUAGCUUUUCGAGAAACCACCUGUUAGAAUCUAACUCAAUACAGCUAAAUGAAUCGUCUCUUAUGUCACAUGUCAUUUCUACGGAGGAAUCUGCGGUUUUCUAGCCUUGUGGUUGCUCAAAAGGGUUCAUUUUUUACUCAGUCAGACAUCCACUUUCUUGCACCACAAGGCUAUAAAACCACAGAUAUGUAAAGUAUAAAAAGGUUGAAUAUGUAAGUGCUCUGGUGAGCUUGCUGUUUUGUAUACUUAUAACUCUAAAAGGACCAAGGUGCAUAUCAUUUCUUAGGAUUU